RNAcentral lists this small nuclear RNA (107 nucleotides) under Dasypus novemcinctus (nine-banded armadillo). The record is from RNAcentral. Lineage: Eukaryota; Metazoa; Chordata; Mammalia; Cingulata; Dasypodidae.
GUGCUCACUUCGGCAGCACAUAUACUAAAAUUUGAACAAUACAGAAAGAAUUAGCAUGGCCCUUGUUCAAGGAUGACACGCAAAUUUGUGAAGCACAUACACAUACA